Long non-coding RNA from Ornithorhynchus anatinus (platypus), 328 nucleotides. RefSeq lists it as uncharacterized. The transcript has 2 exons. NCBI's taxonomy places the organism in Eukaryota, Metazoa, Chordata, Mammalia, Monotremata, Ornithorhynchidae. The record is from RefSeq and is a predicted model, not a curated record.
AAUUUCCUUUUACUGCCCUUGUGAUAUUUAAGUAUUUUGAACACCAAGGAUAAACAAAAUGGAUUCAACAGCUUUUCAAUUCUCCGUGAUCUUCCGUGAAGCCUUUGAGAUGAAUGAUCACAGAUCAAAGCUCUUUAUCUGGUGGAAGCCCUCCAGUUUUCUUACUCUCCCAACUUUAAUCUCUUUUCCGGAGGAAGAGAUUCACCAGUAGAACAUGAAUGUGCAAGGAACAAAUAGAAAACCAAUUCACAAUCCAAAAUACUGCUAAAGCAGCAUUUGUUCCCUACUGGAAAACUGCAACAGACGUAGAGUAAAUCUAAAAAUCCUU